This 249-nucleotide ribosomal RNA is filed under the name Stephanosporaceae sp. 2 CRJH-2017. RNAcentral describes it as "partial 28S ribosomal RNA". It matches the Rfam family "Eukaryotic large subunit ribosomal RNA", at positions 104 to 344 of the family's 3401-position model. Lineage: Eukaryota; Fungi; Basidiomycota; Agaricomycetes; Agaricales; Stephanosporaceae. The record is from RNAcentral.
AAAGCUCAAAUUUGGAAUCUGGCGGUCCUUGUGGCUGUCCGAGUUGUAAUUUAGAGAAGUGUUACCCGCGCUGGACCGUGUACAAGUCUCCUCGAACGGAGCAUCAUAGAGGGUGAGAAUCCCGUAUAUGACAUGGACUCCCAGGGCUUUGUGGUACACUCUCAACGAGUCGAGUUGUUUGGGAAUGCAGCUCUAAAUGGGUGGUAAAUUCCAUCUAAAGCUAAAUAUAGGCGAGAGACCGAUAGCGAA